RNAcentral lists this ribosomal RNA (485 nucleotides) under uncultured bacterium. RNAcentral's name for it is "partial 16S ribosomal RNA". It matches the Rfam family "Bacterial small subunit ribosomal RNA", at positions 28 to 523 of the family's 1533-position model. The record is from RNAcentral.
GACGAACGCUGGCUGCGUGCUUAACACAUGCAAGUCGAACGCUGAAGCCGACAGCUUGCUGUUGGUGGAUGAGUGGCGAACGGGUGAGUAACACGUGAGUAACCUGCCCCUGAUUUCGGGAUAAGCCUGGGAAACUGGGUCUAAUACCGGAUACGACCACGGAACGCAUGUUUCGUGGUGGAAAGUUUUUCGAUCGGGGAUGGGCUCGCGGCCUAUCAGCUUGUUGGUGGGGUAAUGGCCUACCAAGGCGACGACGGGUAGCCGGCCUGAGAGAGCGACCGGCCACACUGGGACUGAGACACGGCCCAGACUCCUACGGGAGGCAGCAGUGGGGGAUAUUGCACAAUGGGGGAAACCCUGAUGCAGCGACGCAGCGUGCGGGAUGACGGCCUUCGGGUUGUAAGCCGCUUUCAGCAGGGAAGAAGCGAAAGUGACGGUACCUGCAGAAGAAGUACCGGCUAACUACGUGCCAGCCGCCGCAGUAA